Oncorhynchus keta (chum salmon) is the source of this 2262-nucleotide long non-coding RNA. RefSeq lists it as uncharacterized. The transcript is spliced from 3 exons. Lineage: Eukaryota; Metazoa; Chordata; Actinopteri; Salmoniformes; Salmonidae. The record is from RefSeq and is a predicted model, not a curated record.
GACACAGAGGACUGAUGUAUCCACAGAUAUACCACAUACUGACCAAGGUAACAGACACAGAGGACUGAUGUAUCCACAGAUAUACCACAUACUGACCAAGGUAACAAAGAGGACUAAUGUAUCCACAGAUAUACCACAUACUGACCAAGGUAACACAGAGGACUGAUGUAUCCACAGAUAUACCACAUACUGACCAAGGUAACAGACACAGAGGACUGAUGUAUCCACAGAUAUACCACAUACUGACCAAGGUAACAAAGAGGACUAAUGUAUCCACAGAUAUACCACAUACUGACCAAGGUAACACAGAGGACUGAUGUAUCCACAGAUAUACCACAUACUGACCAAGGUAACACAGAGGACUGAUGUAUCCACAGAUAUACCACAUACUGACCAAGGUAACAGACACAGAGGACUGAUGUAUCCACAGAUAUACCACAUACUGACCAAGGUAACACAGAGGACUGACGUAUCCACAGAUAUACCACAUACUGACCAAGUCAACAGAGGACUGAUGUAUCCACAGAUAUACCACAUACUGACCAAGGUAACAGACACAGAGGACUGAUGUAUCCACAGAUAUACCACAUACUGACCAAGGUAACAGACACAGAGGACUGAUGUAUCCACAGAUAUACCACAUACUGACCAAGGUAACACAGAGGACUAAUGUAUCCACAGAUAUACCACAUACUGACCAAGGUAACACAGAGGACUGACGUAUCCACAGAUAUACCACAUACUGACCAAGGUAACACAGGACUGAUGUAUCCACAGAUAUACCACAUACUGACCAAGGUAACAGACACAGAGGACUGAUGUAUCCACAGAUAUACCACAUACUGACCAAGGUAACAGAGGACUGAUGUAUCCACAGAUAUACCACAUACUGACCAAGGUAACACAGAGGACUGACGUAUCCACAGAUAUACCACAUACUGACCAAGGUAACACAGGACUGAUGUAUCCACAGAUAUACCACAUACUGACCAAGGUAACAGAGGACUGAUGUAUCCACAGAUAUACCACAUACUGACCAAGGUAACAGACACAGAGGACUGAUGUAUCCACAGAUAUACCACAUACUGACCAAGGUAACAGAGGACUGAUGUAUCCACAGAUAUACCACAUACUGACCAAGGUAACACAGAGGACUGACGUAUCCACAGAUAUACCACAUACUGACCAAGGUAACACAGGACUGAUGUAUCCACAGAUAUACCACAUACUGACCAAGGUAACAGACACAGAGGACUGAUGUAUCCACAGAUAUACCACAUACUGACCAAGGUAACACAGAGGACUGACGUAUCCACAGAUAUACCACAUACUGACCAAGUCAACAGAGGACUGAUGUAUCCACAGAUAUACCACAUACUGACCAAGGUAACACAGAGGACUGACGUAUCCACAGAUAUACCACAUACUGACCAAGGUAACACAGGACUGAUGUAUCCACAGAUAUACCACAUACUGACCAAGGUAACAGACACAGAGGACUGAUGUAUCCACAGAUAUACCACAUACUGACCAAGGUAACAGACACAGAGGACUGAUGUAUCCACAGAUAUACCACAUACUGACCAAGGUAACAGACACAGAGGACUGAUGUAUCCACAGAUAUACCACAUACUGACCAAGGUAACAGACACAGAGGACUGAUGUAUCCACAGAUAUACCACAUACUGACCAAGGUAACAGAGGACUGAUGUAUCCACAGAUAUACCACAUACUGACCAAGGUAACACAGAGGACUAAUGUAUCCACAGAUAUACCACAUACUGACCAAGGUAACGCAGAGGACUGAUGUAUCCACAGAUAUACCACAUACUGACCAAGGUAACACAGAGGACUAAUGUAUCCACAGAUAUACCACAUACUGACCAAGGUAACACAGAGGACUGAUGUAUCCACAGAUAUACCACAUACUGACCAAGGUAACAGACACAGAGGACUGAUGUAUCCACAGAUAUACCACAUACUGACCAAGGUAACACAGAGGACUGAUGUAUCCACAGAUAUACCACAUAUUGACCAAGGUAACAGACACAGAGAACUGAUGUAUCCACAGAUAUACCACGUACUGACCAAGGUAACAGACACAGACGACUGAUGUAUCCACAGAUAUACCACAUACUGACCAAGGUAACAGACACAGAGGACUGAUGUAUCCACAGAUAUACCACAUACUGACCAAGGUAACAGACACAGAGGACUGAUGUAUCCACAGAUAUACCACAUACUGACCAAGGUAACAGACAC